GGUUAAGCGACUAAGCGUACACGGUGGAUGCCCUGGCAGUCAGAGGCGAUGAAGGGCGUGCUAAUCUGCGAUAAGCGCCGGUAAGGUGAUAUGAACCGUUAUAACCGGCGAUACCCGAAUGGGGAAACCCAGUGUGAUUCGUCACACUAUCAUUAACUGAAUCCAUAGGUUAAUGAGGCGAACCGGGGGAACUGAAACAUCUAAGUACCCCGAGGAAAAGAAAUCAACCGAGAUUCCCCCAGUAGCGGCGAGCGAACGGGGAGGAGCCCAGAGCCUGAAUCAGCAUGUGUGUUAGUGGAAGCGUCUGGAAAGGCGCGCGAUACAGGGUGACAGCCCCGUACACAAAAGCGCAUGUGUUGUGAGCUCGAUGAGUAGGGCGGGACACGUGGUAUCCUGUCUGAAUAUGGGGGGACCAUCCUCCAAGGCUAAAUACUCCUGACUGACCGAUAGUGAACCAGUACCGUGAGGGAAAGGCGAAAAGAACCCCGGCGAGGGGAGUGAAAAAGAACCUGAAACCGUGUACGUACAAGCAGUGGGAGCACAGGUUUACCUGUGUGACUGCGUACCUUUUGUAUAAUGGGUCAGCGACUUAUAUUCUGUAGCAAGGUUAACCGUAUAGGGGAGCCGCAGGGAAACCGAGUCUUAAUUGGGCGUUAAGUUGCAGGGUAUAGACCCGAAACCCGGUGAUCUAGCCAUGGGCAGGUUGAAGGUUGGGUAACACUAACUGGAGGACCGAACCGACUAAUGUUGAAAAAUUAGCGGAUGACCUGUGGCUGGGGGUGAAAGGCCAAUCAAACCGGGAGAUAGCUGGUUCUCCCCGAAAGCUAUUUAGGUAGCGCCUCGUGAACUCAUCUCCGGGGGUAGAGCACUGUUUCGGCUAGGGGGCCAUCCCGGCUUACCAACCCGAUGCAAACUGCGAAUACCGGAGAAUGUUAUCACGGGAGACACACGGCGGGUGCUAACGUCCGUCGUGAAGAGGGAAACAACCCAGACCGCCAGCUAAGGUCCCAAAGUCAUGGUUAAGUGGGAAACGAUGUGGGAAGGCCCAGACAGCCAGGAUGUUGGCUUAGAAGCAGCCAUCAUUUAAAGAAAGCGUAAUAGCUCACUGGUCGAGUCGGCCUGCGCGGAAGAUGUAACGGGGCUAAACCAUGCACCGAAGCUGCGGCAGCGAACGUAUCACUUAAAGCGAUUCAGCGGGUUACGAUUGACGGAGCGAAGCGACGUCAAAGCGUAUACAAAGUCGAGUCGGUUUAAGGAUACGUUCGUUGGGUAGGGGAGCGUUCUGUAAGCCUGUGAAGGUGGCCUGUGAGGGUUGCUGGAGGUAUCAGAAGUGCGAAUGCUGACAUAAGUAACGAUAAAGCGGGUGAAAAGCCCGCUCGCCGGAAGACCAAGGGUUCCUGUCCAACGUUAAUCGGGGCAGGGUGAGUCGACCCCUAAGGCGAGGCCGAAAGGCGUAGUCGAUGGGAAACGGGUUAAUAUUCCCGUACUUGGUGUUACUGCGAAGGGGGACGGAGAAGGCUAUGUUGGCCGGGCGACGGUUGUCCCGGUUUAAGCGUGUAGGUGUGUGUUCCAGGUAAAUCCGGUUCACUUUAACACUGAGGCGUGAUGACGAGGCACUACGGUGCUGAAGCAACAAAUGCCCUGCUUCCAGGAAAAGCCUCUAAGCAUCAGGUAACAUCAAAUCGUACCCCAAACCGACACAGGUGGUCAGGUAGAGAAUACCAAGGCGCUUGAGAGAACUCGGGUGAAGGAACUAGGCAAAAUGGUGCCGUAACUUCGGGAGAAGGCACGCUGACAUGUAGGUGAAGUGAUUUACUCAUGGAGCUGAAGUCAGUCGAAGAUACCAGCUGGCUGCAACUGUUUAUUAAAAACACAGCACUGUGCAAACACGAAAGUGGACGUAUACGGUGUGACGCCUGCCCGGUGCCGGAAGGUUAAUUGAUGGGGUCAGCGCAAGCGAAGCUCCUGAUCGAAGCCCCGGUAAACGGCGGCCGUAACUAUAACGGUCCUAAGGUAGCGAAAUUCCUUGUCGGGUAAGUUCCGACCUGCACGAAUGGCGUAAUGAUGGCCAGGCUGUCUCCACCCGAGACUCAGUGAAAUUGAACUCGCUGUGAAGAUGCAGUGUACCCGCGGCAAGACGGAAAGACCCCGUGAACCUUUACUAUAGCUUGACACUGAACAUUGAGCCUUGAUGUGUAGGAUAGGUGGGAGGCUUUGAAGCGUGGACGCCAGUCUGCGUGGAGCCGGCCUUGAAAUACCACCCUUUAAUGUUUGAUGUUCUAACGUGGACCCGUGAUCCGGGUUGCGGACAGUGUCUGGUGGGUAGUUUGACUGGGGCGGUCUCCUCCUAAAGAGUAACGGAGGAGCACGAAGGUUGGCUAAUCCUGGUCGGACAUCAGGAGGUUAGUGCAAUGGCAUAAGCCAGCUUGACUGCGAGCGUGACGGCGCGAGCAGGUGCGAAAGCAGGUCAUGUGAUCCGGUGGUUCUGAAUGGAAGGGCCAUCGCUCAACGGAUAAAAGGUACUCCGGGGAUAACAGGCUGAUACCGCCCAAGAGUUCAUAUCGACGGCGGUGUUUGGCACCUCGAUGUCGGCUCAUCACAUCCUGGGGCUGAAGUAGGUCCCAAGGGUAUGGCUGUUCGCCAUUUAAAGUGGUACGCGAGCUGGGUUUAGAACGUCGUGAGACAGUUCGGUCCCUAUCUGCCGUGGGCGCUGGAGAACUGAGGGGGCUGCUCCUAGUACGAGAGGACCGGAGUGGACGCAUCACUGGUGUUCGGGUUGUCAUGCCAAUGGCACUGCCCGGUAGCUAAAUGCGGAAGAGAUAAGUGCUGAAAGCAUCUAAGCACGAAACUUGCCCCGAGAUGAGUUCUCCCUGAGACUUAAAGUCUCCUGAAGGAACGUUGAAGACGACGACGUUGAUAGGCCGGGUGUGUAAGCGCAGCGAUGCGUUGAGCUAACCGGUACUAAUGAACCGUGAGGCUUAACCUU
This 2986-nucleotide ribosomal RNA is filed under the name Salmonella enterica subsp. enterica serovar Derby. Its description in RNAcentral is "23S ribosomal RNA". It matches the Rfam family "Bacterial large subunit ribosomal RNA". Lineage: Bacteria; Pseudomonadati; Pseudomonadota; Gammaproteobacteria; Enterobacterales; Enterobacteriaceae. The record is from RNAcentral.